This 272-nucleotide ribosomal RNA is filed under the name uncultured Oscillospiraceae bacterium. RNAcentral's name for it is "partial 16S ribosomal RNA". It matches the Rfam family "Bacterial small subunit ribosomal RNA", at positions 71 to 339 of the family's 1533-position model. Lineage: Bacteria; Bacillati; Bacillota; Clostridia; Eubacteriales; Oscillospiraceae. The record is from RNAcentral.
UGAAAAAGCUUGCUUUGAUCAUCUUAGUGGCGGACGGGUGAGUAACACGUGAGCAACCUGCCUUUCAGAGGGGGAUAACGUUUGGAAACGAACGCUAAUACCGCAUAACGUAUACGGAUGGCAUCGUCUGUAUACCAAAGGAGCAAUCCGCUGAAAGAUGGGCUCGCGUCCGAUUAGCUAGAUGGUGAGGUAACGGCCCACCAUGGCGACGAUCGGUAGCCGGACUGAGAGGUUGACCGGCCACAUUGGGACUGAGACACGGCCCAGACUCC